Molecule: ribosomal RNA, 468 nt
Filed under: uncultured bacterium
Lineage: Bacteria
Description: partial 16S ribosomal RNA
Rfam family: Bacterial small subunit ribosomal RNA
Source: RNAcentral
GACGAACGCUGGCGGCGUGCUUAACACAUGCAAGUCGAACGGAAAGGCCCUGCUUUUGUGGGGUGCUCGAGUGGCGAACGGGUGAGUAACACGUGAGUAACCUGCCCUUGGCUUUGGGAUAACUUCAGGAAGCUGGGGCUAAUACCGGAUAGGAGCUCCUGCUGCAUGGUGGGGGUUGGAAAGUUUCGGCGGUUGGGGAUGGACUCGCGGCUUAUCAGCUUGUUGGUGGGGUAGUGGCUUACCAAGGCUUUGACGGGUAGCCGGCCUGAGAGGGUGACCGGCCACAUUGGGACUGAGAUACGGCCCAGACUCCUACGGGAGGCAGCAGUGGGGAAUAUUGCACAAUGGGCGGAAGCCUGAUGCAGCAACGCCGCGUGCGGGAUGACGGCCUUCGGGUUGUAAACCGCUUUCGCCUGUGACGAAGCGUGAGUGACGGUAAUGGGUAAAGAAGCACCGGCUAACUACGUG